Molecule: transfer RNA, 76 nt
Filed under: Pseudomonadota bacterium
Lineage: Bacteria; Pseudomonadati; Pseudomonadota
Also listed under: 5 other names
Description: tRNA-Thr
Rfam family: tRNA
About the family: Transfer RNA (tRNA) molecules are approximately 80 nucleotides in length. Their secondary structure includes four short double-helical elements and three loops (D, anti-codon, and T loops).
Source: RNAcentral
GCCCACGUAGCUCAGUCGGUAGAGCACAUUCUUGGUAAGAAUGGGGUCACCAGUUCAAGUCUGGUCGUGGGCUCCA